Molecule: long non-coding RNA, 1245 nt
Filed under: Homo sapiens (human)
Lineage: Eukaryota; Metazoa; Chordata; Mammalia; Primates; Hominidae
Description: HSALNT0396316
Rfam family: Urothelial cancer associated 1 conserved region (bases 556-630)
Source: RNAcentral
GCUGACUCUCUUUUCAGACUCAGCCCACUUGCACCCAAGUGAAUUAACAGCCUUGUUGCUCACACAAAGCCUGUUUAGGUGGUCUUCUAUACGGACAUGCUUGACACUUGGUGCCAAAAUCUGGGCCAGGGGGACUCCUUCGUGAGACCGGCCCCCUGUCCUGGCCCUCAUUCCGUGAAGAGAUCCACCUGCGACCUCGGGUCCUCAGACCAGCCCAAGGAACAUCUCACCAAUUUCAAAUCGGAUCUCCUCGGCUUAGUGGCUGAAGACUGAUGCUGCCCGAUCGCCUCAGAAGCCCCUUGGACCAUCACAGAUGCCGAGCUUCGGAUUCCCAGCCAUAUGAAGACACCCUAGCUGGACGAUCAGUCCUUGUCAAAAGUCUGACCCCUCAAACUCUACAGCCUCAAUGGACCAGACCCUACCCGGUCAUUUAUAGCACACCAACUGCCGUCCAUCUGCAGGACCCUCUCCAUUGGGUUCACCAUUCCAGAAUAAAGCCAUGCCCAUCAGACAGCCAGCUUGAUCUCUCCUCUUCCUCCUGGAAGCCACAAGAUUAGGCCGAGAGCCGAUCAGACAAACAACCUACAACCCUUAAGCUCCUGGCAGCGCCCAGCCAAGGCCAUGCUUCCUUGCAACACUCCUUCCAAAUGGCCAUCCCAGCAUGCUUCCAAGCAGGCUUCAUCCGUUCCUCUGGACCCUCAUCUCUUAAGACCUGCCGCCUAUAAAAAGGAUUAUAUCUUGAGACCCUAUCCUCUAAAAUUUUUUCCACACCCAAAACAAAAAAUCUCUGGGUCAAAAGUCUAAAACGCUUAGGCUGGCAACCAUCAGAUCCUUGCCCAUGGUGUCCUCAAGCCUACUCUCAUGAAAUGGACAACAGUACACGCAUAUGGGGCCAGUUCCACAUAUUUGGCAACCAGACCAGCAUCCAGGACAACACAAAGUAUGUUGUUUGUUGUUAGAGGGCUUGGGACAUUUCACUCUUUGCCAGCCUCAGCUUAAUCCAGGAGACAAAGAUUAUUUUCCUUAUUAUCUCUUCUGCAUAGGAUCUGCAAUCAGAACUAUUGAACUUCUCCAUUCAGACCGCCACUCACACCUAUGGGAAAAGGGUAAUGUAUCAUCGGCUUAGCAACAGGGAAUACUAUUCGUAUGAUGGAAAAUGGGGACAAAAGGCUUUGGUACAUAAAACAUUAUUCCUUCCUUGGCCUAAAAACUCAUCGCCACCUACAUUAAAGCUAAUAUGCCUGA